UACGGAAGGCAGCAGUAGGGAAUAUUGGGCAAUGGGCGAGAGCCUGACCCAGCCAUGCCGCGUGCAGGAAGAAGGCUUUCUGAGUCGUAAACUGCUUUUGAUAGGGAAGAAUAACCAGUACGUGUACUGGGAUGACGGUACCUACAGAAUAAGCACCGGCUAACUCCGUGCCAGCAGCCGCGGUAAUACGGAGGGUGCGAGCGUUGUCCGGAUUUAUUGGGUUUAAAGGGUGCGUAGGCGGCCCGUUAAGUCCGGGGUGAAAGCCCGCUGCUCAACAGCGGAACUGCCCUGGAUACUGGCGGGCUUGAGUACAGACGAGGUUGGCGGAAUGGACCGAGUAGCGGUGAAAUGCAUAGAUACGGUCCAGAACCCCGAUUGCGAAGGCAGCUGACUAGGCUGUUACUGACGCUGAGGCACGACAGCGUGGGGAGCGAACAGGGAUUAGAUACC
Molecule: ribosomal RNA, 450 nt
Filed under: uncultured bacterium
Lineage: Bacteria
Description: bacterial SSU rRNA
Rfam family: Bacterial small subunit ribosomal RNA
Source: RNAcentral